UGAAAAAUUAGCGGAUGACUUGUGGCUGGGGGUGAAAGGCCAAUCAAACCGGGAGAUAGCUGGUUCUCCCCGAAAGCUAUUUAGGUAGCGCCUCGUGAAUUCAUCUUCGGGGGUAGAGCACUGUUUCGGCUAGGGGGGUCAUCCCGACUUACCAACCGAUGCAAACUACGAAUACCGAAGAAUGUUAUCACGGGAGACACACGGCGGGUGCUAACGUCCGUCGUGAAGAGGGAAACAACCCAGACCGCCAGCUAAGGUCCCAAAGUCAUGGUUAAGUGGGAAACGAUGUGGGAAGGCACAGACAGCCAGGAUGUUGGCUUAGAAGCAGCCAUCAUUAAAGAAAGCGUAAUAGCUCACUGGUCGAGUCGGCCUGCGCGGAAGAUGUAACGGGGCUAAACCAUGCACCGAAGCUGCGGCAGCGACACUAUGUGUU
Molecule: ribosomal RNA, 433 nt
Filed under: Klebsiella pneumoniae
Lineage: Bacteria; Pseudomonadati; Pseudomonadota; Gammaproteobacteria; Enterobacterales; Enterobacteriaceae
Description: bacterial LSU rRNA
Rfam family: Bacterial large subunit ribosomal RNA
Source: RNAcentral